UACGUAGGGACCAAGCGUUGUUCGGAUUUACUGGGCGUAAAGGGCGCGUAGGCGGCGCGGUAAGUCACUUGUGAAAUCUCUGAGCUUAACUCAGAACGGCCAAGUGAUACUGCAGUGCUAGAGUGUGGAAGGGGCAAUCGGAAUUCUCGGUGUAGCGGUGAAAUGCGUAGAUAUCGAGAGGAACACCUGCGGCGAAGGCGGGUAGCUGGGCCGACACUGACGCUGAGGCGCGAAAGCGUGGGGAGCAAACAGG
This 253-nucleotide ribosomal RNA is filed under the name uncultured bacterium. Its description in RNAcentral is "partial 16S ribosomal RNA". It matches the Rfam family "Bacterial small subunit ribosomal RNA", at positions 524 to 776 of the family's 1533-position model. The record is from RNAcentral.